This 504-nucleotide unclassified non-coding RNA is filed under the name uncultured fungus. RNAcentral's name for it is "sequence contains ITS1, 5.8S rRNA gene, ITS2". The stretch from base 212 to 365 matches the Rfam family "5.8S ribosomal RNA". The record is from RNAcentral. Lineage: Eukaryota; Fungi.
GAAAUGUUUGUCGAGAAGGGUUGUAGCUGGCCUCCAGGGGCAUGUGCACACCCUGAUCGCAUCCACCUCCCACACCUGUGCACCGCCUGUAGCUUGGGAUGAUCACGGAGCCCUGAUGGGCGACGAAUGCCCUCGUCUAUGAAUAUUCUCACACACGCUCAAAGUAUGACAGAAUGUACAUCAUAUUGCGUCUGAUAAACGUGACAAAUACAACUUUCAACAACGGAUCUCUUGGCUCUCGCAUCGAUGAAGAACGCAGCGAAAUGCGAUAAGUAAUGUGAAUUGCAGAAUUCAGUGAAUCAUCGAAUCUUUGAACGCACCUUGCGCUCCUUGGUAUUCCGAGGAGCAUGCCUGUUUGAGUGUUAUGAAAUUCUCAACUGCCCCAGGCUUUGUGGCCUGCAGGUGAAGUUGGACUUGGAGGUAUUAUGCUGGCGCAUGAAUGGGCUUUUGCGGCCCUGCCUUGCUUGUUGGCUCCUCUUGAAUGCAUGAGCUUUCCAAUCCUUG